ACGCUAGCGACGUGCCUAAGGUAUGCAAGUCGAAUGCCGAUUUAUCGGCAUGGCAGACGGCUGAGUAACACAUGGGAAUCUACCUCAAACUCGAGAAUAGCCCAUCGAAAGGUGGUGUAAUACUCGAUAGUUCCGUUUACGGUAAAGCUCCGGCGGUUUGAGAUGAGCCCAUGUCCUAUCAGGUUGUUGGUGGGGUAAUUGCCUACCAAGCCUAUGACGGGUAGCUGGUUUGAGAGGAUGAUCAGCCAGACUGGGACUGCGAUACGGCCCAGACUCCUACGGGAGGCAGCAACUAGGAAUCAUGCGCAAUGGACGAAAGUCUGACGCUGCGACGUCGCGUGAGGGAUGAAGGUCUUAGGAUCGUAAACCUCUUUUAUCUGGGAACAAGUUCUGAGUGUACCAGAUGAAUAAGUGCCUGCCAACCACGUGCCAGAAGCAUCGGUAAUGCGUGGGGCACGAGCGUUAUCCGGAUUUACUGGGCGUAAAGAGAUGCGUAGGCGCCUUUUUAAGUCACUUGUAAAAUCUCCCCGCUCAACGGGGAAACUGCAAGUGAUACUGAAUUGGUUGAGUCAAGUAGAGGAGAGGGGAAUUCCUGGUGGAGCGGUUAAAUGCGUUGAUAUCAGGAGGAAUACCAAGUGCGAAGGCACCUCUCUGGACUUGUACUGACGCUAAGGCUCGAAAGUGUGGGGAGCAAAACGGAUUAGAUACCCGUGUAGUCCACACUGUAAACGAUCCCUGCUAGAUGUUUGC
Molecule: ribosomal RNA, 750 nt
Filed under: uncultured organism
Description: bacterial SSU rRNA
Rfam family: Bacterial small subunit ribosomal RNA
Source: RNAcentral